CCUACGGGUGGCAGCAGUGGGGAAUAUUGCGCAAUGGGCGAAAGCCUGACGCAGCGACGCCGCGUGAGGGAUGAAGGUCUUCGGAUCGUAAACCUCUGUCAGCAGGGAAGAACGGUCACUGUGCUAAUCAGCAGUGAAUUGACGGUACCUGCAAAGGAAGCACCGGCUAACUCCGUGCCAGCAGCCGCGGUAAUACGGGGGGUGCGAGCGUUAAUCGGAAUUACUGGGCGUAAAGCGCUCGUAGGCGGUAUGUCAAGUCAAGGGUGAAAUCCCCGCGCUCAACGUGGGAACUGCCUUUAAAACGGGAAAACGGGAGGGGGGGGGAGAGUAGUGGAAUUCCAGGUGUAGGAGUGAAAUCCGUAGAAAUCUGGGGGAACAUCAGGGGCGAAGGCAACUAUCUGGCACAUAACUGACGCUGGGGAGCGAAAGCGUGGGUAGCAAACAGGAUUAGAUACCCCGUAGUC
This 464-nucleotide ribosomal RNA is filed under the name uncultured bacterium. RNAcentral describes it as "partial 16S ribosomal RNA". It matches the Rfam family "Bacterial small subunit ribosomal RNA", at positions 338 to 795 of the family's 1533-position model. The record is from RNAcentral.